Long non-coding RNA from Choloepus didactylus (southern two-toed sloth), 3844 nucleotides. RefSeq lists it as uncharacterized. The record is from RefSeq and is a predicted model, not a curated record. NCBI's taxonomy places the organism in Eukaryota, Metazoa, Chordata, Mammalia, Pilosa, Megalonychidae. The transcript has 5 exons.
AAAUACAGAGUAGGUCCUACUUGGGUCUGCCUUGUGCUAUUUAAGCGAGUAUGGAAUGACUGAGUCUGGAUGCACAUAUUUAAAAUAUUCCUUCCAUUUCCCCCUCCUUCUGUGAAAGUUAUCUGUAUGCAUUUGGACCCAAGGCCUAUUAAAGUUUUCUUGGAGGCAGCAAGACAUGGAACAUUCAAGAACGAAGUUGUAGGAGUCGGAUAAAAAUGAGGAGCUCUCCCACCCUUGUGGAGUAAAGGCUCGCCACGCUUGCUGUCUGCCAGCAAACCUUCUGGGAAAGAGCCAGCAUUGCCAUCAUGUUCAAAGGCCUCGCCAGCUUCCUAGGAAAACGUAUGUGAUGAUAUCAGGGGGUUGGGCAAAAUCCCCGGCAGGUGCCCCUCCCCUGCCCCUACUUACCUCUUGCCAUUCCUCUGCCCUCCACGUGUAGCGAGGACAUGGUGGGGCUUGGCACACGCGGUGAGACUCGGGUCUGGGGUACGGGUUGCACUCGGUCUCUCUGGCUGUUGUGUGUGUUCCGACCUGACAGCCCACACUCCUUUGCUGUGUGCCUCGGCCGCAGGACGCAGAGCACUGCGGAGACAGAGCGCAAAAGCAUUUAGCAAGCCAAUUGGAGCUAAAACACUACUGCAUAGGAAACUACUGUAGAGUUUUAAGUUGAAGAAAGAAAUGGUCUGAUUUAUGUUUCAAAAAUUCUACUCUGAGUACUGAAUGAAGAAUGGAUGGGAGUACAGAGGUGCCCCCGCGUCGGUCCUUUCACUUUCACUGAGGGACAUGGUCGCUCGGUCACUGAGGACCCAGCAUACAACCCCAGUGUGUCUGCCUGGAUAAGAAGGGCUGAAGACCUAAGAAUGAGAUCCCCCAGGUUGCCGAGGCUAUUGAGGACCUGGACAUCAGAAUGAAGAUGCAGUACUGGACAGAGCUGUGAUGAAUGAAGUGAAUAUUAAAUGAAUGUCACACCAUCGGGAAAGGCAAAGGGAUACCGGCUGUACCUACUGUUAUGAACACACACAAAAGCCUGGCUGUCUCCCCCUCCGCACUAGAAUGUAAGCUUGAUGAGCUCAGGGGAUUUUGUCUAUUUUGGUCACUGCAAUAUCCCCAGCACCAGUGCCUGGUUUAUGAAAAACACUCAAAUACUUGUGGAACACGUAAAUGAACGCAUGAACGAAUGAUCGAAUGGUACCUAAUGGAACCACAGCUGCUUAUUCUACAAGAAUAUAUAAGGAUUAAGUGAACAUUCUGCUCAAUGCUCAGUCCAUUGUAAGGACCAAAUAAAUAACUACUGCUCUCUCCUAUCUCCUGUGUCUAUCAGGUCCAUAUCUGGCAGAGUAUUCUUGUGGUUUAAUGGUUAAUUCAUAGCCACAGAACUAAAUACUGCACAGGGGACAUCUAAGAGGAAGGUUAUCUGAGAAUGUGAUAUAAAAGACAAACGGAUGACAAGUGUCAGUUGCCAGGAAGUGAGAACACUACCCUGCUCUGCGAGCACCAGACUAACACUGGAAGUUCAGCUCUAAGCUGCCGCUGCUACCACCUACUCUGUGUGUCACAUAAUUUGUUUCUCAGUCUCCAAAGAUGCUGCCUUAAAUUGACACUUAAGCCAGAUGGAAAAAUGUAGAUAUAGAGAAUGAAAACAACACUAAGAAAUAGCCUCUAAUUAGGCCAGAUAUUCUCUCUCUCCUUUCAGGCCGGAAACAUCUAAAGGCAACAAGCUGAUGACGCCUAUUUCUGUCUACAGGAUAAAAACCAGAUGCACAGCUCAUGAUUUUGUAAUUGUAGAGUGAAUAAGAUAGAAUUAAACCAAUGCCAUUCUGACACACUCUUACCAUCUAACAGCCACAAGCUUCUCUAUUAAGUGGAGUAGUUGUUAUCCAAAUAUUAGGAUCAGGCCACGUCUUAAAGAACAAGUUUUCUUAGUUCAACAGAUCCUUUCUUUAUAGAUGUACUAAUUCAUUCACAUAAUUCUAUAGUGCUGCAAAUCUCCAGGAGAAAUCUAGCCCCUUACAGAGUUCUGGUCUGAGAAUGCUGGGUGGCCAAGCCCAAUUUUUGAAUUCCUUUGAAGGCAUUCAAAACCAAAUGAAGUGUAUAACAGGCCUAUUCUAAAGUGCAAAUAUUCAGCUACCUCCAACUUGUGAUAAGUAAAAUAAAUGAAACCAGGAACCUAGCUGAAAACCCUUAGGAAUCAUCCAGAUCCCAAGAGCUUAGCUUCAGAGAUUUUAAAACCAGAGGAUGUAAGACAAUCAAUUAGUCAUUGAUCAGUGACUGUGAGGUGGAGAAACUCAUUCAUUCAGAGAGACAAGUUUUUUUAUUUAUUUAUUUUAUGGUGGCUGUGACUUCUUAUUCUUAGGGAAGAUUUGCAUGUGUUCAAUUCAUAAACUAGAGUCAUGGGUAAGAGUCUAAUUAGGGAAAAGACAAAAUCCAAUUUCUAAUUUUAAAAGACUUUUGACCUAGUAAUCCACUGGUAAUUUAAGGUUCCAAUUAAUUUUGGAGGGUGACACUCACUUGCCUUAUUUAAAACCACAAUCUCUUACACACUGGGCACCAGGGUGUACAUCUUCUUUCUAUAAAAAACUUCUGUGGCCUUCUAUCAAAUAAAGUUUAAACAGUGUGAGAAAAUCCAAUAUUUCAUUAGAGCUGAGAUCCUGCCGUCAAACUUCUGAGGAUGAUGACAGUGUCUUGGAUUCAUUUUGCUUGCCUUUCCUCUUCUGAUAGAUUUCUUCUCCAAAAGCUAGAGACUCACUGCUAGUGUUUACGGUCAUUGUUAGUGGCCUUUUUAAAGGAGAAGAAUUGAGAUUGAUUUUCCUUCUAGGGUCAAGAGAUGCAUCAUCUAAAAUGUUUUCUGACCCCAUGGUCUCAGAGGUACACUCGCCAUUCUGAGUGUAUGUCCAUGUGUGUCUGUGUGGUAAGGGGGCUGAGGUUGGUAAAUAUUCAGCAUUUGCCGCAUUUGCCAUCUGCUGGAGCAGGAAUGGCUUGCAAAUUGUAAAGGGGAGGUAUGCAGAGGAACAACUUUGGAAAUUUUAUUCCCCUGACGUUCAUGUUCUGAAAAGCCAAGAUAAUGCCACACAUCUGGAAAAGCUCAUCGCCUACGUAUAGCUUUCUCUGAAGGGUUAAUAGAACAAACAGUUGGUAAAUGAGUGACUGUGAAAGCUUGGUGCUCUCCACAACAUAAAGCCAGAUUAUUUAUCUUCUCUGAGAGGAGGAAGGGAAAGAACCUUUUAACCUUUAUAAUAUACUUUGUAAUUUUAUAGACAUCUCUUACUUGAAAAGGGGGGAUUUGGUAACUACUGAAGAAAAUACCCACCUACUGCCCAUGAGAAUAUGAAAGAGAAGUUUUGUUGUCAGGAAAUACAUAUAACUACCAGCGGUGACUUUGCCCUCCAGAGGACACCUGGCAAAGUCUGGAGACAUUUCUGGUUGUCACAACCAGGGUGGAGGUGCUGCCGGCUUCUAGUGGGUACAGGUCAGGGAUGCUGCUAAACAUCCCACAAUGCACAGGACAGACCCCCACAACAGAGGACUAUCCAGCCCCAGAUGGUAAGGUUGAGAAACCCUGCUUUACACAUAUUCUAGUCCAUGGAACAACUUGUAUUCUGCUGUCUUAGUCCCUAAUCAGAAACAUGGUCUUCUGCUUCCCAGAUAAAAUGCCCACUAGGAUGAAUUUUACCUUUAUAAAAGUACCCAAAGGAGAAACCUAAAUAGUCAAGUCUGACACUCAAGUCUGACCAAUUCGUAGAUAUUACUUGGCCUUUAUAUAUGUGUAAAUUCUAUCAUUUACUAGGAAAGCUUUGUUUGACUAAAACUUAAAAUUAAAAGGAACAUAUAUAUGAACUCACAGUGCCAU